RNAcentral lists this ribosomal RNA (458 nucleotides) under uncultured microorganism. Its description in RNAcentral is "bacterial SSU rRNA". It matches the Rfam family "Bacterial small subunit ribosomal RNA", at positions 346 to 794 of the family's 1533-position model. The record is from RNAcentral.
GCGCACCAGUCGAGAAUAGUCUACAAUGGACGAAAGUCUGAUAGUGCGACGCCGUGUGUGCGAUUAAUUCCUUCGGGAUGUAAAGCACUUUUCUAUGAGAUAAAAGCUCUUUAGGUUAAUAGCUUAUUGAGACGGAUAUUAUUAUAGGAAUAAGCUCCGGCUAACUCCGUGCCAGCAGCCGCGGUAAUACGGAAGGAGCGAGCGUUGUCCGGAUUUACUAGGCGUAAAGGGCUAGUAGGCGACUAAUUAAGUUAUAUGUUAAAUCCCACGGCUCAACUGUGGUCCUGCAUGUAAUACUGGUUAGAUAGAGUACUGUAGAGGAAGGCAGAAUUCCUGGAGUAGCGGUGGAAUGCGCAGAUAUCAGGAAGAAUACCAAAAGCGAAGGCAGCCUUCUGGGCAGUUACUGACGCUGAAUAGCGAAGGUGUGGGUAGCGAACAGGAUUAGAUACCCGUGUAGU